UACAGAGGGUGCAAGCGUUGUCCGGAAUCACUGGGCGUAAAGGGCGCGUAGGUGGGCUAGUAAGUCCGUGGUGAAAUCUCCGAGCUUAACUCGGAAACUGCCGUGGAUACUAUCAAUCUUGAAUACUGUGGAGGUAAGCGGAAUAUGUCAUGUAGCGGUGAAAUGCUUAGAUAUGACAUAGAACACCGAUAGCGAAGGCAGCUUGCUACACAGUCAUUGACACUGAGGCACGAAAGCGUGGGGAGCAAACAGG
Molecule: ribosomal RNA, 253 nt
Filed under: uncultured bacterium
Lineage: Bacteria
Description: partial 16S ribosomal RNA
Rfam family: Bacterial small subunit ribosomal RNA
Source: RNAcentral